This 717-nucleotide long non-coding RNA is filed under the name Nilaparvata lugens (brown planthopper). RNAcentral's name for it is "uncharacterized LOC120349435". The record is from RNAcentral. Lineage: Eukaryota; Metazoa; Arthropoda; Insecta; Hemiptera; Delphacidae.
UUAUUUUAUUUUCUCCUUAUUUGGACAUAACUUUGAAUAUCCAUUUAUUAAAUUUCUAGUUAAUAAUUUUGAUUUGUUGGAUUGGUACAACUGGACGAAGCCUUGUCGGUUGACCAGCCAGCGAUUUCCUCUUCUUCUUGUUCUAAAAGGCCUAGCUGUGGCAUCUCAAAAUGUAGCAUGUGAUUUGAAUUAUGAAAUAUCUAAAUUUUUUACUACAAAAUUUUUCUUUUAAAUUAUGCUAAAGUAGCAUAAAAUGUAAAUCUACAAUGCCUGAUUGAAUUUUAUAUUUGAAUAACCCCAGUUGGGUAAGUUUUUUUUAUUUUACCAUUAAUUUUGAAUGACCGGACAAAUAUAAUACCAGGAUAAAUACAGGAUGAAGGAGACUACACAUUUUCCAUAAACUCAAGCAAAUUCAACCAAAUAUUUUGGAAUUCCAGUACAGUAUGAAAAUUAAAUUUCAAUUUACAAUUCGAAGUGGGGUAAGCAGAACACUUGUUUUACAAUUCGGCUUCUAAUUCAACCAAGUCCAUCGAAUUUUAUGAGUUUCAAACUUCGUUAAUCGUCGCUUAUCUACGAUUCUACAUCACACUGAAGCUUCAGUUGUAGGCCUACCGGGUUACUAACAUAGAUUUAAUAAUCAAAACUUGUAAACUGAAUAUUUUGUAACUUCAGAAAUGAAAUUGAUUUUUAAUGUUGAAAAUAUAAGAUUCAAUCGGA